Long non-coding RNA from Solanum tuberosum (potato), 2209 nucleotides. RefSeq lists it as uncharacterized. The transcript has 3 exons. NCBI's taxonomy places the organism in Eukaryota, Viridiplantae, Streptophyta, Magnoliopsida, Solanales, Solanaceae. The record is from RefSeq and is a predicted model, not a curated record.
UAUUUGUACGACAAAACCAUUGUCUUCUUUCUCUUCCUUCAACUUUCUCACAGUCUCCAUCUUUGAGCUUAACCCAUCUCCCAAAUUAAUCUUCUCUACCCCUCACCGACCAAGAAUGCACUCUUACAGACUCAAAAUCCAGAACAAUUGGCUUUUGUUUAAGCGAAUCGUGAAGACAAGGCCAACCCCAUCUCGCCCGCCAACUGUUCGUUACAAUUCCUCAACCAUCAACUGUCCUUUGGAACACAAUAAUAGUUGGGUUUAUUUGUAAUAACAUGCCCCAUGAAGCCAUUUCAUUCUAUUCUCGAUUGAAACAUGUGGGUUCGUCCGUAUGUGAUCAGUAUACUUAUUCCUCUGUUCUCAAGGCUUGCACGGAGACCAAACGGAUUCUUGUAGGUAAAUCUGUGCAUUGCCACAUUCUGCGUUCUGGGAUUCAUACUAGUAGGAUUUUUAGUAAUUUUUUGUUGAAUAUAUACUCUGCUACUUGUCUUACAUCGGAUAAUGGUACUGAUUGUGAUUUAGUUUAAAGGGUGUUUAGAACUAUGCGUAAAAGAAAUGUUGUUGCAUAGAAUUCUAUUUUUUCAUGGUAUGUGAGAAGGAAGAGGUUUAUGGAAUCAGUGAGGUGUUUUGUUAAGAUGAUGAGAUUAGGCAUUAAGCCAACUGUUGUUAGUUUUAUACUUUUAUUAAUGUUUUUCCUGCUGUAUCAGAAAUAGGGGAUGUUAGAGUUGCUGAUGUUCUUUAUGGAUUGCUUGCGAAAUUGGGUAAUGCAUGUGUAAAUGACUUGUUUGUUGUUAGUGCUGCCAUUGUUAUGUAUGCUGAGCUUGGUUGCGUUGAUUUGGUGACCAGAAUAUUUGAGAAUACUUGUGAAAGAAAUACAGAGAUCUGGAACUCUAUGAUUAGCGGGUACAUUUAGAACAAUUUUCCUUUAAAAGCUGUUGAUCUCUUUCUUUAAGCUGUAGAAGCAGAGGAUGCUGUUACUACUGAUGAUGUGACAUUUGUAUCCGCUCUUAUGGCAACUUCACAAUUGCAGCAUUUGGAGUUUGCCCAAUAGCUACAUGCAUGUCUGAUAAAGAAAUGCAGGGAUUCACAGGUUAUUUCGCUUAAUGCUAUGAUAGCCACAUAUUCUAGGUGUAACCAUGUUCUACUCUUUGCAGCAGAAUGGUUUAGAACCAGAUGCUGUUACCUUUGUAGCAGUCCUGUCUACUUUCAGCUACACCGGAUUGGCUGAUACAGGCCUUAAAUAUUUGAGCUGAUGGGUGAAGAAUACGGGAUUCAGCCAUCAGCAGAGCACUAUGCUUGUGUGGUUGACAUGUUAGGGAGAGUUGGACGGUUGGAUGAAGCUCAUAAUUUUUCUUAACAUUUGGGUGUUGAGGGUAAUGUCUUGGGAAGAUGGGGAUCACUCCUUGCAGCCUGCAGAGUGCAUAUAAAUUUUGAAUUGGGGAAAAUUGUUUCCAGUAAGCUGCUUGAAUUAGAGGGGAGUGAUGGAAUUUAUGGUUAUCAUAUUCUGCUUUCAAAUAUAUAUGCAGAGGUAGGAAACUGGCAGUCUGUCGAUAGCGUCAGAAGAGGAAUGCGCAAAAUGAGAUUGUCACAGGAGGUUGGCUGUAGUUGGAUUGAUACUUCUGGAUAUCCACACUGUUUUGUAUCUAAAGAUAAGAAACAUCCUCAGUACUGCAUGAUAUAUGAUAUGUUGGCAUAUUUAACCAUCAAUAUGUAGGAUGCUGGCUAUAAGCCUAAACUUGAACUAAUAGAAGAGUGGAUCUAUGGGCUAGAAGAAUAAAAAGCUAUUAGUUCUCCCACUAUGUACCUUUGUAUUCAUGAUAUUUUGGACAGGAUUUUGCUAGAGUUCAUAUGAUUGUAGUUUAUCAAUGACCAGCUGCCUUUGAAAUUCGAGAUCAGUCAAGAAUAUCCAUUUUACCUUUUUGGUGGGAAACGAGGAGUCCCAGAUCGCAAAAGAAGGGUCUUAUCCAAAAUGACAACUUCUAUCAAGCUGUCUGAUUGACUGAAGCACAUGUAAAUUAGUGCUGCCAUUGUUAUGUAAGCUGAGCUUGGCUGUGUUGAUUUGGCGACCAGAAUAUUUGAGAAUACUUGUGAAACAAAUACAGAGAUCUGGAACUCUAUGAUUAGCGGGUACAUUCAGAACAAUUUUCCUUUUAAAGCAGUUGAUCUCUUUCUUGAAGCUGUAGAAGCAGAGGAUGCUGUUUCUACUGAU